AGAGUUUGAUCCUGGCUCAGGAUGAACGCUAGCGGCAGGCUUAACACAUGCAAGUCGAGGGGUAACGCGGGGUAGCAAUACUCUGGCGACGACCGGCGCACGGGUGCGUAACGCGUAUGCAACCUACCUGUAACAGGGGUAUAACGGAGUGAAAAUUCCACUAAUCCCCCAUAUUGUUAGAGAUUCGCAUGUUUCUCUAACGAAAGCUUCGGUGGUUACGGAUGGGCAUGCGUGACAUUAGGUAGUUGGCGGGGCAACGGCCCACCAAGCCGACGAUGUCUAGGGGAGCUGAGAGGCUUAUCCCCAACACUGGUACUGAGACACGGACCAGACUCCUACGGGAGGCAGCAGUGAGGAAUAUUGGUCAAUGGACGGAAGUCUGAACCAGCCAUGCCGCGUGGAGGAAGAAGGUCCUAUGGGUUGUAAACUGCUUUUAUGCGGGGAUAAACUUCAGCACGUGUGCUGUUUUGCAGGUACCGCAUGAAUAAGGACCGGCUAAUUCCGUGCCAGCAGCCGCGGUAAUACGGAAGGUCCGGGCGUUAUCCGGAUUUAUUGGGUUUAAAGGGAGCGCAGGCGGGCUGUCAAGCGUGCCGUGAAAUUUCGGGGCUCAACCCCGUUAAGCGGCGCGAACUGGCGGCCUUGGUUGCGGGAGAGGGAGGCGGAACUCGUGGUGUAGCGGUGAAAUGCAUAGAUAUCACGAAGAACCCCGAUUGCGAAGGCAGCCUCCCGGCCCGUGAACGACGCUCAUGCUCGAAGGCGCGGGUAUCAAACAGGAUUAGAUACCCUGGUAGUCCGCGCGGUAAACGAUGGACACUCGGGAUUUGCCCCUUUUUGGGUGAGUCCCCCAGCGAAAGCGUUAAGUGUCCCACCUGGGGAGUACGCCGGCAACGGUGAAACUCAAAGGAAUUGACGGGGGCCCGCACAAGCGGAGGAACAUGUGGUUUAAUUCGAUGAUACGCGAGGAACCUUACCCGGGCUCGAACGGUGCAGGAAGGAUCUAGAGAUAGUGACGCCCUUCGGGGCCUGCAUCGAGGUGCUGCAUGGUUGUCGUCAGCUCGUGUCGUGAGAUGUUGGCUCAAGUGCCAUAACGAGCGCAACCCUUGCCGCCAGUUACCAUCAAGUGAAGUUGGGGACUCUGGCGGGACUGCCACCGUAAGGUGUGAGGAAGGCGGGGAUGACGUCAAAUCAGCACGGCCCUUACGUCCGGGGCCACACACGUGUUACAAUGGGGGGCACAGCGAGCUGGACCAGGGCGACCUGGUUCGAAUCAUGAAAUCCCCUCCCAGUUCGGACCGGAGUCUGCAACCCGACUCCGCGAAGCCGGAUUCGCUAGUAAUCGCGCAUCAGCCAUGGCGCGGUGAAUACGUUCCCGGGCCUUGUACUCACCGCCCGUCAAG
Molecule: ribosomal RNA, 1397 nt
Filed under: uncultured bacterium
Lineage: Bacteria
Description: bacterial SSU rRNA
Rfam family: Bacterial small subunit ribosomal RNA
Source: RNAcentral